AUGCUACGAUUCCCAACACAUGGCUCCUUCGAUAAGGAACUCGCGAGGUUCUUUUGGCAGGCCGCAGACGGCCGCCAGAAGUAUCACAUGGUCAAGUGGGCAGAUAUCUGCAGGCCCAAGGACCAAGGUGGGCUGGGAAUUAUGGCGUCUCGUCGCAUGAAUGUUGCACUUAUGAUGCGAUGGAUAUGGCGGAUCAUGCGCGGCAAGGGAGGACUGUGGUUACGGCUGAUUCUAGCAAAAUAUCUGAGAGGUGUACCCCUCCUGGCGUACUCAUGA
Molecule: ribosomal RNA, 276 nt
Filed under: Triticum aestivum (bread wheat)
Lineage: Eukaryota; Viridiplantae; Streptophyta; Magnoliopsida; Poales; Poaceae
Description: partial small subunit ribosomal RNA
Source: RNAcentral